UCUUUCAAGUUUUUCAAAGGUAAGUAAUCAUUUUCUGAAGUAAAGCUUUUAAUCAACAAUGGUGUUUCCAUAUGAGUGAGUUUCUACUUUGAUCCAGAAAUACCAAUAAGUCUCACUUUUUUAUAGUACUAAAUUUUUUAUGAACUUCUCUAGCAACAACCAAGACCACGUGGUAGAUAUUAUAUUAUUUUGUGUAAGAUUUUGUUGAUUGGGAAGUGUAAUUUGACAUUAUUUAUUUAUUCGUGUUAACCACUGGUUAAGGAAAUUAAAAAAAGAAAAUUUUAAAAUAAAAAUAACACUUUUUAUAUUUUUAAAAAAUUAACAACAUAAAUUCUAAUGUAAAACUUACUGCGUUUGAAUCCUUACCCUUAUUUAUUUUGUUUGCAUGUGAUGUGAUUGAUAUAUUUUUGUGACAAAAAAGUGGAGUGGGACAUGUCUUUUAAUAUCUUUUGCAAAUUUAUGUAAGGAUGAUGAAUGCCAGCCACAUAUUUAUGAAAGAAUAAACUGUCAAUUUAAUUUAUUCCUAAAACUAUUAAAAUCAAUUAAUGUGUCUCUAUACUAUGAAAAAGAUCAUCAAUUUAAUUCUUAAACUAUUAUAGAAAACAACGAAUUUUGUUAAAUAAAAUAACAAAAUGGUUAGAUGAGAUAUUAGUUAUAAAAUAUCUAUUGAGUAGUCUCAUAUCAAUGAACAUAAUAUGAAAAAACUUUGUUGAGAAUGAAGCACCAAUGUGUUUGAUGUUGAUAAGGAUGGAUCAAUUUUGUGAGAGUGGUAAAAUUGAUGGAGCAAAAUUGCAAUUAAAGGCUACAUUUAGCCAAUAUCAAAAUAAGGUCUUUAAUUAGAUUUUAUACAAAUAAACAAUUUUUGAAUAAAAAAAUGCACUGAUCAUGUGUGUAAAAUUAAAUAAAAUUUGAUCCGGUUGGAAUGAGGAAGAUUGUUUGUAGGGUGAUAUAUGGUCUGUAGUGGGAUUGAGCUUUACAUCGUCCAUUCGUGAUCAUGCACUGAUCAUGCACGUGCUUCAACGCCUAAGUCGGUCAGUGGUUCAAAAGAGAGUGCUACCAUAACUGAUCUGGUUGGACCGGAGAAUAUGGUUUGUUGGGUGAGAUUAUUGUGUAGUGGGAUUGAGGGGAAGACAUUGGCUCCAGCAGAUCCAGAUAUGUGUUAGGUUUAUAAAAAGAUUCUCAAUUAAAUUAUUGAUGCAUUGCGUAGAGAGAUGAAGAAAAUGAGGUCUGAUUAUGAGGAUACUUCUGAGCAUACCAUCUUACAGCGAGGUAGGUUGCAUUUAAUACGAAGGUUACCGCCUUCUUUGUCGCAUUUGGAUGGUUUAAAUUAAGAGGUUUUGGCAUUGAGUUAUCCUGGUAUUGUUGGACAAUGUUACCCUGGUGUGAAGAUAGAACACAAUUAUUGAUUGUCUUUGCAAAGAGAAACUUGUAGAUGAUGUGAUUGAUUUAUAUUUUGAGAUGGUUCUCAAGAGAAUUAUGCAUUAAUGUCAUUUAAACUGCAAAACAAUUUAUACACUAAUGCAAUUUUUAUAAUCAUUACUUUAAACAAUUCAAGAGCUGGAGAAGUAAAAAAUAAUUGUUAUGCAGUUUCCUAGUACACUGAUACUCUUAUAGUUAUCUGUCUUUUGUCAUUUUGUAUCUCUUUUGGUGUUUCAUCCUUCAAGACUCGCGCCAUAGUAGUCGUUGCUUGAUCAAAGUUUGCGACAAUUACAACAAUGAGGCUAAAGCAAUUGAUGAUUUAUGUCAAGUGCCCUCAUUAGUAUAUCAAUCGGAUAUGAAGGAUCGGAAGCUACCCAAUAUGCAAGGUUCUUCUCUUCCUUAAUAGCUUGCUUCUUCUUCUUUUUCAUAUUACGAGGGUUUCUUCUGUUUUAACUACUCCUUUCAGAAAUGCUUAUAUUGUUAAAAUCGGAAUUGAAUGAGGUUGUGUAUCUUGAACUUCCACUUACAUUAGAGUUGUGUAUUGUUUCUUUUCCGAUUGAAGUUCCAAAUGGUUAUGAUGCAUAUGGAGAAACUUUGUGAGGACAUAAAUUCCCUUAUCAUUUAUAGUUUG
Molecule: long non-coding RNA, 2050 nt
Filed under: Medicago truncatula (barrel medic)
Lineage: Eukaryota; Viridiplantae; Streptophyta; Magnoliopsida; Fabales; Fabaceae
Description: long non-coding RNA (MTRU_LNC004138)
Source: RNAcentral